AUGGCCACAGAGGCUGAAGUCACCUGCCCUGUGUGCCAGGGGACCCUGAAGGAGCCCAGCGUCGUCAGCCCCUGUCAGCACCAGUUCUGCUUGGGCUGCAUCGUGCGCUGGGCCAAGAGGAGCGUCAGCUGCCCCCUCUGCAGGCAGGACAUCACCUCCAUACGCUACUCCAUCUGGUCCGAAGACGACUUUCUGGAGGUCCAAGUUGUCAGCCAUGCAGAGAACCAAGAGGACAGCCAGCAGGAUGAGCAGGGGGCUGCAGUGCCGGUGCCCCCGGCUGCCGUGAGCGGCCUCCUGCCAGAGGAAUGGGCGGCCCUCUUCAGGGAGCAUCCUGAAAUCCUCGGUCCUCUGAGGCCCUGGGUGCGCCAGCAAGCCAGGGAGUUGUUUGGGGCUGCCUGGUGGGACCAGGAUGUGCUAGAGGCCAAGGUCAUUGCUUGGCUGUGCCGCUUUGGGCUGGAGGAGGUGGUCUUGGUUCGCGAGAUGCAGCCGUUCCUGCAGGGCCAUACAGAGAGCUUUGUGAACCAGCUCAUUGACAGAGCUGUAGACAUGUGCAGCGAUGAGUUCCUCGAGGAGCUGGGGCUCCUGGAGCCCCCUCCUGCAAGCCAGCACCAGAAUGGCCCUGAGGUGGACCUAGGGUGCUCCCAUGUCUGGGAGCAGGAAGACAGCACUGAAGCCACCCCCAGCCAUGCUGCCUCCUGCCAGGAUGCUCCUCUCACCAUCGUGCUGUCCUCCAGCAGCUCAGAGGAUUCUGAUAUCGAGGAGCUCCCCAGCACCUCCAGUGCUGCCCUGCAUGAGGGUCCUGGCCACCCUCCCACUGCACCCAUCCUCACAGAGCGGGAGGAGCCCUGCAGAGAGCCAGGACAGGCAGCAACAGAAGGUGUCGCGAUGCCGGGCUGCAGCCACAGGCCCUCUCCUCCUGGCCAGGACAGGGACAGUUCUCCUGGGGGGCCCCGGCGCCCCCCAAAGAGGAGGUCUAACAGCAGCCCGGACUCUCCCCAGCCCUGCAAGAGGCCGCCUCCGCGGCGCCUUUAG
RNAcentral lists this long non-coding RNA (1032 nucleotides) under Cairina moschata (Muscovy duck). RNAcentral's name for it is "domestica (muscovy Duck (domestic type)) lncRNA (ENSCMMG00000002971.1)". Lineage: Eukaryota; Metazoa; Chordata; Aves; Anseriformes; Anatidae. The record is from RNAcentral.